CUUUAACAGACAAUGGACACGCUUUUCAGGCGGAUGAUAAAGUCUUACACAGUUGGGUUGAUCGUGAGAUCGAAGUGGCCCUUCAUGUUCACGAAGUUCGUGUAGCUUAUGACAAGCAGAGUGAAGCGCGCACUGCUCUUGCUAAUGAACUGUCAAAGCUAAAGGCGGAGGAAAUGUAUGAUCGUUCAUACAA
This is a long non-coding RNA of Selaginella moellendorffii, 193 nucleotides long. RefSeq lists it as uncharacterized. The transcript has 3 exons. NCBI's taxonomy places the organism in Eukaryota, Viridiplantae, Streptophyta, Lycopodiopsida, Selaginellales, Selaginellaceae. The record is from RefSeq and is a predicted model, not a curated record.